RNAcentral lists this ribosomal RNA (733 nucleotides) under uncultured Pseudomonas sp. RNAcentral describes it as "bacterial SSU rRNA". It matches the Rfam family "Bacterial small subunit ribosomal RNA", at positions 19 to 746 of the family's 1533-position model. The record is from RNAcentral. Lineage: Bacteria; Pseudomonadati; Pseudomonadota; Gammaproteobacteria; Pseudomonadales; Pseudomonadaceae.
AUGGCUCAGAUUGAACGCUGGCGGCAGGCCUAACACAUGCAAGUCGAGCGGAUGACGAGAGCUUGCUCUCUGAUUCAGCGGCGGACGGGUGAGUAAUGCCUAGGAAUCUGCCUGGUAGUGGGGGACAACGUCUCGAAAGGGACGCUAAUACCGCAUACGUCCUACGGGAGAAAGCAGGGGACCUUCGGGCCUUGCGCUAUCAGAUGAGCCUAGGUCGGAUUAGCUAGUUGGUGAGGUAAUGGCUCACCAAGGCGACGAUCCGUAACUGGUCUGAGAGGAUGAUCAGUCACACUGGAACUGAGACACGGUCCAGACUCCUACGGGAGGCAGCAGUGGGGAAUAUUGGACAAUGGGCGAAAGCCUGAUCCAGCCAUGCCGCGUGUGUGAAGAAGGUCUUCGGAUUGUAAAGCACUUUAAGUUGGGAGGAAGGGUUGUAGAUUAAUACUCUGCAAUUUUGACGUUACCGACAGAAUAAGCACCGGCUAACUCUGUGCCAGCAGCCGCGGUAAUACAGAGGGUGCAAGCGUUAAUCGGAAUUACUGGGCGUAAAGCGCGCGUAGGUGGUUUGUUAAGUUGGAUGUGAAAGCCCCGGGCUCAACCUGGGAACUGCAUUCAAAACUGACAAGCUAGAGUAUGGUAGAGGGUGGUGGAAUUUCCUGUGUAGCGGUGAAAUGCGUAGAUAUAGGAAGGAACACCAGUGGCGAAGGCGACCACCUGGACUGAUACUGACCAC